This 279-nucleotide ribosomal RNA is filed under the name uncultured bacterium. Its description in RNAcentral is "partial 16S ribosomal RNA". It matches the Rfam family "Bacterial small subunit ribosomal RNA", at positions 506 to 784 of the family's 1533-position model. The record is from RNAcentral.
UGCCAGCCGCCGCGGUAAUACGGAGGGGGCAAGCGUUGUUCGGAAUCACUGGGCGUAAAGGGUGUGCAGGCGGUAGGUUAAGUCUGAUGUGAAAGCCCCGGGCUCAACUCGGGAAUUGCAUUGGAAACUGGCCGACUAGAGUAUCGGAGAGGGAAGCGGAAUUCCCAAUGUAGCGGUGAAAUGCGUAGAUAUUGGGAGGAACACCAGUGGCGAAGGCGGCUUCCUGGGCCAAUACUGACGCUGAGGCGCGAAAGCGUGGGUAGCAAACAGGAUUAGAUA